AUUGAACGCUGGCGGCAGGCCUAACACAUGCAAGUCGAGCGGAUGAAGGGAGCUUGCUCCUGGAUUCAGCGGCGGACGGGUGAGUAAUGCCUAGGAAUCUGCCUGGUAGUGGGGGAUAACGUCCGGAAACGGGCGCUAAUACCGCAUACGUCCUGAGGGAGAAAGUGGGGGAUCUUCGGACCUCACGCUAUCAGAUGAGCCUAGGUCGGAUUAGCUAGUUGGUGGGGUAAAGGCCUACCAAGGCGACGAUCCGUAACUGGUCUGAGAGGAUGAUCAGUCACACUGGAACUGAGACACGGUCCAGAUUCCUACGGGAGGCAGCAGUGGGGAAUAUUGGACAAUGGGCGAAAGCCUGAUCCAGCCAUGCCGCGUGUGUGAAGAAGGUCUUCGGAUUGUAAAGCACUUUAAGUUGGGAGGAAGGGCAGUAAGUUAAUACCUUGCUGUUUUGACGUUACCAACAGAAUAAGCACCGGCUAACUCCGUG
Molecule: ribosomal RNA, 484 nt
Filed under: uncultured bacterium
Lineage: Bacteria
Description: partial 16S ribosomal RNA
Rfam family: Bacterial small subunit ribosomal RNA
Source: RNAcentral